CAGAUGUGGAAGAUUGACUGGAGAUCAGUCUCAGGUGUGUUUUGAUCGCCCGCUCCACCCAGCCUGAGAACAGACAGACAAGGGACACAGACAAGACACAGAUGGGGAGGGGAAGAGGGAAAACACAUGGGACUCCUAACAAAAUCAGAUGGCGAUCUAAUCCCUAAAUGUUUUCAAUGUUUCCAGUUUACUGAUGUGUUCCAGGAUGUUAAUGUUCCUGAUUGGAGCUGCAAACAUCUACUGGCAGACUGUGACAGCAGAUGUGUACAUUUCUGAGCUGAAGGUGCAGAGCAAUGCCACGCUGGAAACAUCAACCAUCUUGGCUAUGUUGAAAGCAUCUACCUUCCAAGUGACUGCCGCAGGUGGGGUCUCCCACACUGUGACCAUCGAGCAAACUCAACUGGUAGCAGAGUGCCUGAUAAUUGGGCAAAAAUACAGUUGCAACUGCUCUGAAGGCUACGUUUGGAGCAACGAAGUCUGCUACACUCACCAGUGUUGCAGUGAAAAGACCUGCAACCAUAAUUUAGCCAACGUUACACAAGUCUGUGUGGCCAAAGCUGAAGGUAAAAACAUGCCUGUUCUCGAGCUGCUGUUCACCAGUUUCUCUGUUUUAACAGCGUGA
This 622-nucleotide long non-coding RNA is filed under the name Takifugu rubripes (torafugu). RNAcentral describes it as "lncRNA (ENSTRUG00000028845.1)". The record is from RNAcentral. Lineage: Eukaryota; Metazoa; Chordata; Actinopteri; Tetraodontiformes; Tetraodontidae.